Molecule: ribosomal RNA, 253 nt
Filed under: uncultured bacterium
Lineage: Bacteria
Description: partial 16S ribosomal RNA
Rfam family: Bacterial small subunit ribosomal RNA
Source: RNAcentral
UACAGGAGGCCCGAGCGUUAAUCGGAAUCACUGGGCUUAGAGGGUGCGUAGGCGGACCUGAGGGUGUACUGUGAAAUCCCCCGGCUCAACCGGGGAAUCGCGGCGCAAACCGCAGGUCUUGAGGCGGCUAGGGGCCGUCGGAACGCUCGGUGGAGCGGUGAAAUGCGUAGAUAUCGAGCGGAACGCCGAUGGUGAAGACAGACGGCUGGGGCCGUCCUGACGCUGAGGCACGAAAGCGUGGGGAUCAAACAGG